This 1806-nucleotide ribosomal RNA is filed under the name Salmonella enterica. RNAcentral describes it as "bacterial LSU rRNA". It matches the Rfam family "Bacterial large subunit ribosomal RNA", at positions 1154 to 2925 of the family's 2925-position model. Lineage: Bacteria; Pseudomonadati; Pseudomonadota; Gammaproteobacteria; Enterobacterales; Enterobacteriaceae. The record is from RNAcentral.
UCGGCCUGCGCGGAAGAUGUAACGGGGCUAAACCAUGCACCGAAGCUGCGGCAGCGACGCUUAUGCGUUGUUGGGUAGGGGAGCGUUCUGUAAGCCUGUGAAGGUGUGUCGUGAGGCAUGCUGGAGGUAUCAGAAGUGCGAAUGCUGACAUAAGUAACGAUAAAGCGGGUGAAAAGCCCGCUCGCCGGAAGACCAAGGGUUCCUGUCCAACGUUAAUCGGGGCAGGGUGAGUCGACCCCUAAGGCGAGGCCGAAAGGCGUAGUCGAUGGGAAACGGGUUAAUAUUCCCGUACUUGGUGUUACUGCGAAGGGGGGACGGAGAAGGCUAUGUUGGCCGGGCGACGGUUGUCCCGGUUUAAGCGUGUAGGUGUGUGUUCCAGGUAAAUCCGGUUCACUUUAACACUGAGGCGUGAUGACGAGGCACUACGGUGCUGAAGUAACAAAUGCCCUGCUUCCAGGAAAAGCCUCUAAGCAUCAGGUAACAUCAAAUCGUACCCCAAACCGACACAGGUGGUCAGGUAGAGAAUACCAAGGCGCUUGAGAGAACUCGGGUGAAGGAACUAGGCAAAAUGGUGCCGUAACUUCGGGAGAAGGCACGCUGACACGUAGGUGAAGUGAUUUACUCAUGGAGCUGAAGUCAGUCGAAGAUACCAGCUGGCUGCAACUGUUUAUUAAAAACACAGCACUGUGCAAACACGAAAGUGGACGUAUACGGUGUGACGCCUGCCCGGUGCCGGAAGGUUAAUUGAUGGGGUCAGCGCAAGCGAAGCUCCUGAUCGAAGCCCCGGUAAACGGCGGCCGUAACUAUAACGGUCCUAAGGUAGCGAAAUUCCUUGUCGGGUAAGUUCCGACCUGCACGAAUGGCGUAAUGAUGGCCAGGCUGUCUCCACCCGAGACUCAGUGAAAUUGAACUCGCUGUGAAGAUGCAGUGUACCCGCGGCAAGACGGAAAGACCCCGUGAACCUUUACUAUAGCUUGACACUGAACAUUGAGCCUUGAUGUGUAGGAUAGGUGGGAGGCUUUGAAGUGUGGACGCCAGUCUGCAUGGAGCCGACCUUGAAAUACCACCCUUUAAUGUUUGAUGUUCUAACGUGGACCCGUGAUCCGGGUUGCGGACAGUGUCUGGUGGGUAGUUUGACUGGGGCGGUCUCCUCCUAAAGAGUAACGGAGGAGCACGAAGGUUGGCUAAUCCUGGUCGGACAUCAGGAGGUUAGUGCAAUGGCAUAAGCCAGCUUGACUGCGAGCGUGACGGCGCGAGCAGGUGCGAAAGCAGGUCAUAGUGAUCCGGUGGUUCUGAAUGGAAGGGCCAUCGCUCAACGGAUAAAAGGUACUCCGGGGAUAACAGGCUGAUACCGCCCAAGAGUUCAUAUCGACGGCGGUGUUUGGCACCUCGAUGUCGGCUCAUCACAUCCUGGGGCUGAAGUAGGUCCCAAGGGUAUGGCUGUUCGCCAUUUAAAGUGGUACGCGAGCUGGGUUUAGAACGUCGUGAGACAGUUCGGUCCCUAUCUGCCGUGGGCGCUGGAGAACUGAGGGGGGCUGCUCCUAGUACGAGAGGACCGGAGUGGACGCAUCACUGGUGUUCGGGUUGUCAUGCCAAUGGCACUGCCCGGUAGCUAAAUGCGGAAGAGAUAAGUGCUGAAAGCAUCUAAGCACGAAACUUGCCCCGAGAUGAGUUCUCCCUGAGACUUAGAGUCUCCUGAAGGAACGUUGAAGACGACGACGUUGAUAGGCCGGGUGUGUAAGCGCAGCGAUGCGUUGAGCUAACCGGUACUAAUGAACCGUGAGGCUUAACCUUACAACGCCGAAG